GCCCAACGAAACCCCAGUUGUCAAAUUCGUGAACGUGUGAGAAUACUGAAAAAGUAUCAGUGUUAUUCGGAGUGGCAGAGAGUUCACAGCUCGGGAGCAAAAUAAAUUCUAAAUUUUGUAGUUUUUUUUUUCCGCAAUAUUUUUUGACUAGAUAUUAAGAAUAAAGUGAUAUUUUUUUUAAACUAAUUUAAGCAAAAAGUGAAAAACACAACCAACAAACAAAAGACAGUGAAACAAAACAAACAAAACAAAAAUAAGAAUAAUACAACAGCCAAUCAACACCUUCUACUCCAUUACUGCUUUAAACAAUAAUCAACAAAAAAAAACUGCGAAAAAGACGCCAUUGGGGUCUCACUUUAGCUGGCAGGAUCUCUUCCUCGGGGUCCAACGGAUGCUGUAUCUUAGACGAAUAAUACAACAACCAAUCAACACCUACGCUCUUACAGCAUUAAACAACAAUCAAAGAAAAAACUGCGAAAAAGACGGUAUUGGGGUCUCACUUUAGCUGGCAGGCGCUCUUCCUCGGGGUCCUACGGAUGCUGUAUCAUAGACGAAGAAUACAACAACCAAUCAACACCUACGCUCUUACAGCAUUAAACAACAAUCAAAGAAAAAACUGCGAAAAAGACUCUAUAGGGUUGCGCCCAUCAGCUGGCAGGAGGUCGUCCUCGGAGUCCAACGGAUAUACAUAUACGCGAUCAAGCACGAGCACGAGUGAAAAACUGUACUAUACUAUAUUUUGAUACUAAUAAUUGUAUAUUUUUAUACCAAAAACAAAUGAUUGUCAGAUUGAUUGAUUGAUUGAUUAUAGACUUAUAUUUAUAUAUGCCUGAAGAGCUAUGAUAA
Drosophila miranda is the source of this 846-nucleotide RNA transcript. RefSeq lists it as uncharacterized. Lineage: Eukaryota; Metazoa; Arthropoda; Insecta; Diptera; Drosophilidae. The transcript has 5 exons. The record is from RefSeq and is a predicted model, not a curated record.